Molecule: ribosomal RNA, 502 nt
Filed under: uncultured bacterium
Lineage: Bacteria
Description: partial 16S ribosomal RNA
Rfam family: Bacterial small subunit ribosomal RNA
Source: RNAcentral
AUUGAACGCUGGCGGCGUGCUUAACACAUGCAAGUCGAGCGGUAACAUGUGUAGCAAUACAUGCUGACGAGCGGCGAACGGGGGAGCAAUGCUUCGGAAUCUUCCUCGUAGUGGGGAACAACCGGGGGAAACUCAGGCUAAUACCGCAUACUAACUACGGUUGAAAGCAGGGGAUCGCAAGACCUCGCGCUAUAAGAUGAGCCGAAGUCGGAUUAGCUAGUUGGUGGGGUAAAGGCCUACCAAGGCCACGAUCCGUCGCUGGUCUGAGAGGACGACCAGCCACACUGGGACUGAGACACGGCCCAGACUCCUACGGGAGGCAGCAGUGGGGAAUAUUGGACAAUGGGGGCAACCCUGAUCCAGCGACGCCGCGUGUGUGAAGAAGGCCUGCGGGUUGUAAAGCACUUUUAGUGGGGACAAAAAGCCGAGGGCUAAUACCUUUCGGUCUUGAUUUAACCCAGAGAAAAAGCACCGGCUAACUCUGUGCCAGCCGCCGCGGUAA